GUGGGGAAUCUUCCGCAAUGGACGAAAGUCUGACGGAGCAACGCCGCGUGAGUGAAGAAGGUUUUCGGAUCGUAAAGCUCUUUCGUUAGGGACGAACGUGCUCUUUGUGAAUAAUGAGGAGUAAUGACGGUACCUAAAUAAGAAGCCACGGCUAACUACGUGCCAGCAGCCGCGGUAAUACGUAGGUGGCAAGCGUUGUCCGGAAUUAUUGGGCGUAAAGCGCGCGCAGGCGGGAUAUCAAGUCUGUCUUAAAAGUGCGAGGCUCAACCUCGUGAGGGGACAGAAACUGGUAUUCUUGAGUGUCGGAGAGGAAAGUGGAAUUCCAAGUGUAGCGGUGAAAUGCGUAGAGAUUUGAAAGAACACCAGUGGCGAAGGCGACUUUCUGGACGAUGUCUGACGCUGAGGCGCGAAAGCUAGGGGAGCGAACGGGAUUAGAUACCCGUGUAGUCC
RNAcentral lists this ribosomal RNA (450 nucleotides) under uncultured bacterium. Its description in RNAcentral is "partial 16S ribosomal RNA". It matches the Rfam family "Bacterial small subunit ribosomal RNA", at positions 354 to 796 of the family's 1533-position model. The record is from RNAcentral.